GACGAAGGGGGCUAGCGUUGUUCGGAAUUACUGGGCGUAAAGCGUGUGUAGGUGGUUGUCAUAGUCAGGCGUGAAAGCCUUGAGCUCAACUCAAGAAAUGCGCUUGAUACUGGGCAGCUAGAGGACCGGAGAGGAUAGUGGAAUUCCCAGUGUAGUGGUGAAAUACGUAGAGAUUGGGAAGAACACCAGUGGCGAAGGCGGCUAUCUGGACGGUUUCUGACACUAGGACACGAAAGCGUGGGGAGCAAACAGG
Molecule: ribosomal RNA, 253 nt
Filed under: uncultured bacterium
Lineage: Bacteria
Description: partial 16S ribosomal RNA
Rfam family: Bacterial small subunit ribosomal RNA
Source: RNAcentral